Molecule: ribosomal RNA, 441 nt
Filed under: uncultured bacterium
Lineage: Bacteria
Description: partial 16S ribosomal RNA
Rfam family: Bacterial small subunit ribosomal RNA
Source: RNAcentral
CCUACGGGAGGCAGCAGUGGGGGAUAUUGCACAAUGGGGGGAACCCUGAUGCAGCGACGCCGCGUGGGUGAAGGAGCGUUUCGGCGCGUAAAGCCCUAUCGGCAGGGAAGAAGGAGGACGGUACCUGACUAAGAAGCCCCGGCUAACUACGUGCCAGCAGCCGCGGUAACACGUAGGGGGCAAGCGUUAUCCGGAUUUACUGGGUGUAAAGGGGGCGCAGACGGCAGCGCAAGCCAGGAGUGAAAGCCCGGGGCCCAACCCCGGGACUGCUGUUGGAACUGGGCGGCUGGAGUGCAGGAGGAGCAGGCGGAAUGCGUGGUGUAGCGGUGAAAUGCGUAGAUAUCAGGAGGAACACCGAUGGCGAAGGCGGCCUGCUGGACUGCGACUGACGUUGAGGCCCGAAAGCGUGGGGAGCGAACAGGAUUAGAUACCCUUGUAGUC